AGUGAACGCUGGCGGUAGGCCUAACACAUGCAAGUCGAACGGCAGCACAGUAAGAGCUUGCUCUUACGGGUGGCGAGUGGCGGACGGGUGAGGAAUACAUCGGACUCUACUUUUUCGUGGGGGAUAACGUAGGGAAACUUACGCUAAUACCGCAUACGACCUACGGGUGAAAGCAGGGGAUCUUCGGAUCUUGCGCGAUUGUAUGAGCCGAUGUCGGAUUAGCUAGUUGGCGGGGUAAAGGCCCACCAAGGCGACGCUCCGUAGCUGGUCUGAGAGGAUGAUCAGCCACACUGGAACUGAGACACGGUCCAGACUCCUACGGGAGGCAGCAGUGGGGAAUAUUGGACAAGGGGCGCAAGCCUGAUCCAGCCAUACCGCGUGGGUGAAGAAGGCCUUCGGGUUUUAAAGCCCUUUUGUUGGGAAAGAAAAGCAGCAGGUUAAUACCCCGCUGUUCUGACGGUACCCAAAGAAUAAGCACCGGCUAACUUCGUG
RNAcentral lists this ribosomal RNA (492 nucleotides) under uncultured bacterium. RNAcentral describes it as "partial 16S ribosomal RNA". It matches the Rfam family "Bacterial small subunit ribosomal RNA", at positions 29 to 507 of the family's 1533-position model. The record is from RNAcentral.